This 630-nucleotide long non-coding RNA is filed under the name Sorghum bicolor (sorghum). Its description in RNAcentral is "long non-coding RNA (SBIC_LNC012821)". Lineage: Eukaryota; Viridiplantae; Streptophyta; Magnoliopsida; Poales; Poaceae. The record is from RNAcentral.
CUGAGAAUUUUGAAAAAAAAUGCAAAAAUUUUUGAAAGUAAACAAGGCUCUGGACUCGCGGAGUCGAGUCAUGUGUUUGCAUGUACGUGUGCCUUCUUGGCGUAUGCUAGCAUUUUUUUCUCUUUUUUUAAUGUGGGCUCGAUCCUUCUCAGAAAAGCCAGGAAUUGGAAUUAGAGGCCAGCAACGAUUCAAUAUUGGUCCAAAUACUAAUACUACUGGGUGUUACGAUUCAAUAUUGGUCCAAAUACUAAUACUACUGGGUGUUACAUACCUAGGGCGUGGGGCCCUGCCUAAAGAGAGUCCACAUAACAAUUCUAGUUGGUUUCAUGUCCGUCGCUUGAGCCUUCUAUCCUAAGCGGCAAUACGCCAUGUGGGCUCGAUCCUUCUCAGAAAAGCCAGGAAUUGGAAUUAGAGGCCAGCAACGAUUCAAUAUUGGUCCAAAUACUAAUACUACUGGGUGUUACGAUUCAAUAUUGGUCCAAAUACUAAUACUACCGGGUGUUACAUACCUAGGGCGUGGGGCCCUGCCUAAAGAGAGUCCACAUAACAAUUCUAGUUGGUUUCAUGUCCGUCGCUUGAGCCUUCUAUCCUAAGCGGCAAUACGCCAAUAGCGCCGCCGACGCCGUUCAC